RNAcentral lists this long non-coding RNA (241 nucleotides) under Anser brachyrhynchus (Pink-footed goose). RNAcentral describes it as "lncRNA (ENSABRG00000005505.1)". Lineage: Eukaryota; Metazoa; Chordata; Aves; Anseriformes; Anatidae. The record is from RNAcentral.
CCCCUCCCCCUCCAGCCAACCCCCCACAUUAAAAGCACAAUACAAGGAAAGAGGAAACAGCAGUGCUAACUGCAUGAAGAUGAUAUUUUGAAUGGCUUGGUGGCAUCAUCUUACGGGAUUCAACAGAAUUAAGGAGUGAUGAGGAGCCCUCAGAAGAGGAGAAACUACCCUGGUGGUUGAUAAGGGCGGUGAUCCAUCUUUCUGUCAUAUCUAUCUUAUUCCUGGCAGUGCUCAACCCCAG